CGCGGAACCCUGAUGCGCGGUGCCCGUCCGCACCCGGCGCCUUUUCGCCGCCGCUCCCGGCGCUGCCCCGUCGUUGCCCUGGCAACGGCACCGUCCGCGGGGCGGAGAGCCCGGGCCCGGCGGCAGGAUGAUGCUCUCCCGGGCCAAGCCAGCUGUGGCAGGUACCCCAUCACCAGGAGAAAGGCAAAGGAAGAAAGGAAAGAAAGUGCCACAGCUGGAAGAGCUCCUGGCCCAGAGGGACUUCACUGGCGCGAUUGCCUUGCUGGAGUUUCAGCGGCAAGUGGGGGAGCAGGAGGAGGAUGCUGACCUUUGGAUCGGGUACUCUGCCUUUCAUUUGGGUGACUACAAGAGAGCACUGGAGGAAUACGAGGCCUUAACCAAACAACCAGCUUGCAAUCCAGAUGUUUGGGUGAACCUUGCCUGUACGUACUUCUUUUUGGGAAUGUAUACGCAAGCUGAACAAGCAGCGUUGAAAGCACCUAAGAGUCAUCUCCAGAACCGUUUGCUCUUUCACCUGGCACAAAAGUUCAAUGAUGAGAAGAAACUGAUGAGUUCUCACCAGAAUCUGGAAGACAUUACAGAAGAUCAGCUCAGCCUAGCAUCUAUCCACUACUUGAGGUCCCACUACCAUGAAGCUAUUGCUAUCUACAAACGCAUUCUUCUGGAUAAUCGGGAAUACCUGGCUCUGAAUGUAUAUGUGGCCCUAUGUUAUUACAAACUGGACUACUAUGAUGUAUCACAGGAAGUGCUAGCUGUUUAUCUUCAGGAAUUUCCUGACAGCACCAUUGCUCUCAACCUUAAGGCUUGUAACUGUUUCCGACUUUUCAAUGGGAAAGCUGCUGAGGCAGAGUUUAGGAACUUGAUGGACAAUGCCUCAUCAUCUUUUCAGUUUGGCAAGGAGCUCAUUAAGCACAAUCUGGUAGUGUUUCGAGGGGGAGAAGGGGCUUUACAGGUCCUGCCUCCUUUGGUUGAUGUUAUUCCCGAGGCAAGACUGAAUCUUGUGAUUUACUAUCUCCAGCAAGGUAAGUACACUUUCCUCUCGCUCUUUCAUAGCUUCAAGGAUGACAUUCAUUCACCUGAUCAACUGACUCUUCAAUGAGAUGCUUUUUUUGCUUUGCAGUAAAAUUUAAUUUAUUUCAUUUUCUGUUCCUCUGGAAAACAGUGAUGUAAGAGAUCCCCGUGGCUUGCAGACAAGGGCUUUAAUUGUGAGCAGUCAAAUAAAUCUACUUCAGCAGAGUACUGAAUGUUCUUGGCUUGUGGGAGAUGGCUUUGGGGAUGGUAGUGUUUUUGUUUAUAGUGAGAGGACCUCUCCUCUGCCUGAAUAUGUGAUAGUGGCAGGCAUAUGUCCAAUGAAGGCAAGGAGGACUACUUCCGUAAGUAUGGCACAAAUAGAAUAUAAGCCAAAGUGACUGUGAACAAGGCUACAGUUUGUGAACGAGACACUUCAUUCCAAAUCUACUUUACAACUCUUAAAGAAUUCAGGUACGUAGCCAGAACCAGUUGGAAAGUAUUUUCUGCUUGCUUCUCUCCUUAGUUGGCCAACUCCUUUCAUUUUUAUCUGAGUUUAGUUUCAGAGCCAUUACUGUUCUCCCACUGUGUUCUUUUAUUCAAUAGUGGGUUGACUGACUGAGUGAUGAAUUGGUGUUAACUGUACUUAUCAAAAAUAAGGCGAUGUGAUGAUUGGUUUACUAUUCACUCCUUUCUUGUAAGCCUUGUAUUUUGUUGCCUUUUAAAUAGUUAUAGUUACUGAGAAUAUGUGUUUCAAAUUAAGUUCUACGUGCGCAGAAGCAAAAUACAUCUUGUGCAUCACUUAAAAAUCAGUCUUGUUUACUGAUUAUAUUUGCUGUCAACCUUGCAGUAAUUUUCAUUGGUUAGGUUCUGUUCUUCAGUGGGGUAUACAAAUGACUUGCAUACUGACAAAGGAGGCCAAGAGGAACUGAGGAUUUUAACCUCUUUCCUGGUUACGCUAAGUUUCCAUUUCAAACUACCUGAAAGGAGGUUGUAGCAAGAUGAUGUGCAGGAGGCUUAUAACCUGAUUAAGGACCUGGAACCUAUAUUUCCACAGGAGUACAUUCUUAAAGGAGUGGUAAAUGCAGCACUUGGGCAAGA
RNA transcript from Cuculus canorus (common cuckoo), 2109 nucleotides. It is a transcript of the gene named intraflagellar transport 56, with no coding region annotated. The transcript is spliced from 11 exons. The record is from RefSeq and is a predicted model, not a curated record. Lineage: Eukaryota; Metazoa; Chordata; Aves; Cuculiformes; Cuculidae.